Molecule: long non-coding RNA, 259 nt
Organism: Phalaenopsis equestris
Lineage: Eukaryota; Viridiplantae; Streptophyta; Magnoliopsida; Asparagales; Orchidaceae
Exons: 3
Source: RefSeq, a predicted model, not a curated record
GUGGUACUGAAGGCUUAUUUGCUCAGAAAACUAUAGAAAUCACAGAUGAUAUUAUUUCUUCUUACAAAAACCAAGGCGGUUUUGAUUUGCUAGGCCGAACGAAGGAUCGAAUAAGAACAAAUGAGCAAAUCAAUGCUGUUAAAGUUGCAUGUGAAGCAUUGAAAUUGAACGGUCUUGUGAUUAUUGGGGGUGUAACAUCCAAUACAGAUGCUGCUCACCUAGCUGAGACUUUUGCAAAGACAAAAUGUCAGACCAAGGU